GAUGAACGCUAGCGGCAGGCUUAAUACAUGCAAGUCGUGGGGCAGCAUGAGUAGCAAUACUUGAUGGCGACCGGCAAACGGGUGAGGAACACGUACACAACCUUCCUUCAAGCGGGGAAUAGCCCAGAGAAAUUUGGAUUAAUACCCCAUAAUAUAUUUGAUAAGGCAUCUUAUUAAUAUUAAAGCUUCGGCACUUGAUGAUGGGUGUGCGGCUGAUUAGAUAGUUGGCGGGGUAACGGCCCACCAAGUCUACGAUCAGUAGCUGAUGUGAGAGCAUGAUCAGCCACACGGGCACUGAGACACGGGCCCGACUCCUACGGGAGGCAGCAGUAAGGAAUAUUGGACAAUGGACGAAAGUCUGAUCCAGCCAUGCCGCGUGAAGGAUUAAGGUCCUCUGGAUUGUAAACUUCUUUAUAUGGGACGAAAAAGGGACAUUCUUGUUCACUUGACGGUACCAUAUGAAUAAGCACCGGCUAACUCCGUGCCAGCAG
Molecule: ribosomal RNA, 491 nt
Filed under: uncultured bacterium
Lineage: Bacteria
Description: bacterial SSU rRNA
Rfam family: Bacterial small subunit ribosomal RNA
Source: RNAcentral